ACGGAGGAUGCGAGCGUUAUCCGGAUUUAUUGGGUUUAAAGGGUGCGUAGGCGGAUAGAUAAGUCAGUGGUGAAAACCUGCAGCUUAACUGUAGACUUGCCGUUGAUACUGUCAGUCUUGAGUAUGGUCAAGGUAGGCGGAAUGUGUAAUGUAGGGGUCAAAUUCUUAGAUAAUACUCUGACCAUUCAUUGCGAAGGCAUCUUAUUGGACAAUUGCUAAAGCUGAUGCACGAAACCGUAGGGAUCGACCAU
This 251-nucleotide ribosomal RNA is filed under the name uncultured prokaryote. RNAcentral describes it as "partial 16S rRNA". It matches the Rfam family "Bacterial small subunit ribosomal RNA", at positions 525 to 775 of the family's 1533-position model. The record is from RNAcentral.